Molecule: ribosomal RNA, 253 nt
Filed under: uncultured prokaryote
Description: partial 16S ribosomal RNA
Rfam family: Bacterial small subunit ribosomal RNA
Source: RNAcentral
UACGGAGGGUGCGAGCGUUGUUCGGAAUCACUGGGCGUAAAGCGCGUGUAGGCGGCCAAGCAAGUCGGGUGUGAAAGCCCUCGGCUCAACCGAGGAACUGCGCCCAAAACUACCGUGCUCGAGGAAGAUAGAGGUGAGCGGAACUUAGGGUGGAGCGGUGAAAUGCGUUGAUAUCCUAAGGAACACCGGUGGCGAAAGCGGCUCACUGGAUCUUUUCUGACGCUGAUGCACGAAAGCUAGGGUAGCGAACGGG